UAUGUGACUGAGGGGCAUGGAUGUGGGGGGCUUGGGCAGUGCUUAAUUUGUAAUGAAAGAGGUGCCGGGGUUCAAGCAAAUGUUUUUACUUUAAUUACUGACACGGCAGGCCCAGAAGUGCCGUGCCGGGGCUUUGAACUGCCAGGCCCGGAAGUGCCGUGCCGGGGCUCUGAACUGCCAGGCCUGGAGGUGCCGGGGCUCAGCCCUGGCACAGAUUACGCCCUGGACUUGGGUAGUGGGGUUGAUAGAUUCAUAGAUUCCAAGGCCAGGAGAGACCAUUGUAAUCAUCUCAUCUGACCUCCUGUAUUGCACCAGCCAGAGAACUUCCCCCAAAGAAUUCCUAGAGCAGAUCUUUUAGCAAAAGCCUCCAGUCUUGAUUUUAAAAUUCUCAUUGGUGGAGAAUCCGCCAGUGAAUUGCGCCAGUGGUUAGUUACUCCUGUAGGCCCGGCUUGAACAUGAGUCAUUAGGGAGGUUUUAAUUUUUGGAAGACAGGGAGGUAAAUAGAUCAGUAGACUGGAAACUGACUGUCUGGGCUAAAAUAAGUAAAUGGGUCAAUAAGGGCAAGUCUAUACACUACAGAAUGACUUCGGUGUAACUACGUUGUCCUGGGGUGUGAAUAAUUCAUGCCCUGAGUUAUAUACCAACCUAAUCGCCGGUGUAGACAGUACUGUGUUGGCAGGAGAGCUUCUCCUGCCAACAUCAUUACCGCCUUUCACGGAGGUGGAUUAACUAAGCCAACAGGAGAGCUUUCUCCCAUCAGCAUAGAGCGUCUUCAUUAAAGCACUACGGGGUGCGGGACAGCAGUUUAAGUGUAGACCUGCUCUAAGCUAAAAGACAGAAUGUCUGAGCUAGUUAAGAUAAGAGGGAGAACACCCAGGGAAACAUUUACUCAAAACAAGAUAAUGCAAGGAGUGCCAAGACAGGUAAAGAGGAAAGUUGACUGUGGACAGAGCAUGCCGCACGUGGAUUGGUCUUUGCAAAGUAACCAAGCCAAUUCUACAGCAUGUAAUGCAAUGUAUAGGGAAUGUAAUGUGAUGUGUAAGUGUAUGUAAAGAAGGUGGGGGGGUUGUGUAACUUCAGAUGCGUGGUAUACCCAGUACCCAUGUUUGAGUUUGAUUAACUUGGCAUAGCUUUAUGCCAAAUAAAGAAACCUGAGUGAUGAGACUGGAGUUGAACUGAGUUCUUGGGGAAUUGAGUGGAAGAGGUUUAGAAGGCUUCUCCAACAUAGUGGUGCAGUGCCUCGGAUCGGAUCUAUUCAUCUGGGGCAGGUAAGGUAUCGUUUAUUAUAUGUCUAGCUUUACUGUCAAGGAUCGCAACCCAGCACUUUAGCAAUGGCAUUGGUAGGGCUUAAAUUUGAAGAGGUUUCUGGGGCAUUGGGGAACUAAGUUAAAUCCAAAGGGGGACCCUCUAGACUCCCAGAUAGGUAUUAGGGAGAAACUGGGUCUGGGUGGAAAAAGAACGUCAAUAAAUAGUGCUAAAUAACAAAUGCAAUCAAAAAAAUGCAAAACCCCUUGUUAUUGCAGAGAGUAACCCUAAAAAUAGCCCAGCGUAGAGAAGUAAAAGAAUUAACCAUUAUGUUAAAAAUGUUGAGGAAGUAAAGAAUGGGCAGAAAGAGCAAAAAAGAGAUCUAUAAAGUGCAUGCCAUGCCACCUGGCAAAGCAGUUUUAAAAUAAAAUAAAAGUGGUAAAAAUAUUUGAAAGGUACUUUAUAGACAAAUGUAAAAGAAUGCCGGGCAGAGCACAGCAGAAGUCUGUUGAGUGCCACUAACAUGUUAAAAGAUAGGACCCAUUUGCAGCCAUAAAAAAUAGUAUCUUCUUGGUUUUUUCGUAAAGCAAAAAAAAUAUACAAUAAAAAAGCCCAAAUCAAGGCUGCAGUUUCACAAGGAUUAUUUCUAGCGGCUAAAACGUCACAAACAACAAGGUGCCACCUUACCAAGUAGAUGCAAAAAGCAUAACAAGCCAAUCAAAGUUGUAGGAGGGGAAAACAAAGUAAAUUAAAAACAUUCCCAAAUAAUAAUAAUCAAAAAAACCCCAGAAGUUUGUUAACUGUUGCCUUAGGUCCAAGGUAGAAAGCAGCUGUCCUUCAGAAACUGUAUUUAGUAAGGUUUCAGAGGAGCAGCCGUGUUAGUCUGUAUUCGCAAAAAGAACAGGAGGACUUGUGGCACCUUAGAGACUAACCAAUUUAUUUGAGCAUAAGCUUUCGUGAGCUACAGCUCACUUCAUCGGAUGCAUUCCGAUGAAGUGAGCUGUAGCUCAUGAAAGCUUAUGCUCAAAUAAAUUUGUUAGUCUCUAAGGUGCCACCAGUCCUCCUUUUCUUUUUGUAUUUAGUAAGUACAGCUUUGCAGGCCGAGUGUAUGAAGCUAAAAAAAAAUAAGUGCAAAAACCAUAAAAAAAAGAAAAAAAAAAAAGCUUAAAGUUGCCAGAAAAAAUGGCUACAAAAUGUGUCACUUUAAAAACACAAGUAAUUAAAUAAAACCUGUCAAAAAGUGUUUGCACAAAUUAACACUACAGAGUUUAAAACAAUUGAACCGUUAAAAAUUGUAAAAAUGUUUGAAAGUCUUUUAAAAAGUAAUACAUUAAAGUGUUAAAUAUGCUUGAUUCAAUCAUAAAACCCAGGUAUGGCAGCAGAACUCGGUGCAGUCAUGCCGACUAAAAUCCUUAGUGAUCAAACAAACUGUGAAAAGGGGAGGUCAGGUGAUAACAACGACCACCCCGGGCAUUUUUCCCUAGAAAGCCUUUAGAGCCACUUCUGUUGUACUUGUUUCCCCAAGAGCUCCAUUCCACUCCAGUCCGGUCGCUUUGGUUCCUGUAUUUGACACACACCAAAGCUCUGCCGAGUGGAUCAGACUCAAGCGUAGAGGGCGGGCGUAGGGCCUACCCCACACCCAAAGCUACGCAGCAAACCGCUUCCUUUGUAGAUGUUUAUACGUUACCUGGCGUUCGCGACACAUCGGGAAUUGGCUUGGUCACUUUGCAGGAACAAAUCCCUCUGCAGCAUGCUCAAUGCACGCACUGUCACUGGACGACUUACUCUUUACCUCAUCUUAUGGUCCAGGCUUCUCGUGUCUAUUGUAGAUGGUUCCCUGGGGGUUCCCCCUUAUUUUAGCUCUUACAAACAUUCUGCUUCCAGCCUGCUGAUUUAUUUAGCUCCCUAAUCCUGUCUCCUGAGAAAUUAGGCCUGACCCGUGUUCAAUUACUCAUGUCACGUCAAGCCUAUGUUCCACAGCUUUUGUUUUUCUUUUUUAUAUUAGUAUUUACAUAAGAACGGCCAUAGUGGAUCAGACCAAAGGUCCGUCUAGCCCAGCAUCCUGUCUUCCGACAGAGACCAGUGCCAGGUGCCCCAGAGGGAAUGAACAGAACAGGGACUCAUCAAGUGAUCCCCUGUCUUCCAUUCCCAGCUUUUGGCAAACAAAGGCUAGGGACGCCAUCCCUGCUCACCCUGGCUAAUAGCCACUGAUGGACCUAUCCUCCAGGAACUUAUCUAGUUCUUUGUUUUAGUUGCAUUAUAUUUUAGGAUUUUUGUGUUUGUUUUUUGCAGUGGACUGCUUAGCAACACAAUUUUAAGGCUACAGUAGCUGUAAUUAUUUGAACCACCAUUAAUACUAGGCUUAAAGUACUAACGAGGAGGUGGAAGAUUAUUACUUCUGGUACAGCCCACCAGGGUGUAAUUCCACAUUACAGACUUUCUUUGCCUUUAAAGCAUGUUUUGUCGUUUUGAUUUUGCUUUUAUUUUAAUUUCAUUUAAAAAAAACCCUGGUACAAUAGAUAUAUAUUUCCUUUUAUUACCGCAAGAAAUUUAGAUGUGAAACAGAACAUAGGUCAAUUCAAUUAACAUUUGCUGAGUCCAUGCCAGAAGUGAUCCUUUUUAGCCCCCAGACGAUGUUUGUUAUCACCAGCAUAGGCAAUUUUUACGUUACUAACAUUUCAGUGUUUUAACCCUGCUGUGCAAUUUGGAGCCUCUUUUCCCAAAGCGAACCCUUGUGCCGGCAUCUUUGUCUGUAAGAUGUUACACCUGCCUGUGUACAUUUCCCAGAUGCAAACAGCAGAACAAGUCUGGGAGUUUUUAGACUUUGUGUUGUUUUCUAACAGUAUUUGAGUAGGGAAAAGAAACUUUUGUUUUUAUACCACAUCAGUUGCAGUGGUUUUACAUUUAACUUCCUGCUAUCAGACCCUUGUCGAUUUUUUUAUUAUUAUUAUUAUGUUGCAUCAACUGUUAUUUUUAUUGUAUUAAAUUUUUAACGUUUGUGGUGACUAAAGAGGACAAGGUUUUUUGCUUCAUUUUACUUAAGGCUGCUUUUAUUUUGUACAGCAUGCCUUUGGCACAUGCGAUUAGAACACAUUGAAUUAAUUUUAUACUUUUUUAAAAGCAAUAACAGUAUGUAUAUUAUAACAAAGCUUUAUUAAGGAGGGUUUUUUUCUCAUUUAAUGACUCCAGUACUUUGCUUCCAGUAUUUUUCUGUUGAAACGAUUGGUUAUGUUUUUACAGAAUAUUUAUGUCACCUUGGUUUUAGAGUAUCAUACUCAUUUUGAACAGUUUUGUGUGUGUGCGUGUGUGUGUGUGUUUGCUUGCCAUCCCCUCCCUGCCUUGGCAGUUUUAUGUUUUGGCAGUAUAUUUUAAAGUAUAUGUUUAGAAAGUUCUUUUAACGGUUUUUAAUGAUAUUUCACCAAAUUUUAGUGGGCAUAAUUUUUGAUGCAGAUUGGUAACAUUUAGUAACACAGACACACAAAUAAACUGAACAUUUUUGUGUAAUAUAUUUAAUAGGCUUUAGCCCUAAAUUAUUUGGACUUGUUUCUCGUUUCAGACAUUUCAGUUCACUUUUUUUUUUUUUUUAAGUUUACAAACCUUUACUAUAUAGUUUUUUGUUUUUACUUUCAUACUAAUAUUUAUUUUACAGUACAGUUAAGCAGAACUUUUGGGAUAGGAUUUGAAUGGUUGGUGGGUUUUGACAUGUUUUUGAAUGCCCACUGCACCCUUUAAAGUAGCUUCAUUAUUUAUAAUUAAUAAACUGUUUAAAAAAAAACAACCCAGAAUUUGGAUGGCACUUUUGAAUGGAAUUUUGGUGCAUGGGCUUCACUCCUUAUGUUUACGGAUUUAUUUUAUUGACGCUGGGUUGCUUUUUGCUUUUAAAGCACGCUUAUGCAGUGUCUAGUGGGGUGCAAUGUAUAUCGAAUGUAAUGUAAUAUGUAAAUGUAUCCAAAGGAAGGAGGUUUGGAUGUGUGAUAUACCCUGUACCCACCCCCUAUGUUUGAGUCUGAUCAACUCAGCAUAGCUUUGCUGUAUGCCAAAUAAAGGAACUUGAAGGACAAAA
This is a long non-coding RNA of Chelonia mydas (Green sea turtle), 5308 nucleotides long. RefSeq lists it as uncharacterized. The transcript has 2 exons. NCBI's taxonomy places the organism in Eukaryota, Metazoa, Chordata, Testudines, Cheloniidae. The record is from RefSeq and is a predicted model, not a curated record.